This 58-nucleotide transfer RNA is filed under the name Pongo abelii (Sumatran orangutan). RNAcentral's name for it is "tRNA-Ser". Lineage: Eukaryota; Metazoa; Chordata; Mammalia; Primates; Hominidae. The record is from RNAcentral.
GAGAAAGCUCACAAGAACUGCUAACUCUCACUCCAUGUGUGACAACAUGGCUUUCUCA